GUGCUUCUGCUGGCGUUUAGCGGCGCUUCGGCCGGCCAGAAAUGGAGUGCGUAGUAGACUAAGCAAGGGGACACAACACCCAAGAAGGAAGGGCGACCCGUCGAGGCUUACGAUAACGGCACAGGCGGGCCAUUCAGAAAAGCCGGGGGUCAAAGGUGAGAAGAGCAGAGGGCACCAUGAGCGAGCCGGGGCCCCCCACCGCACCCACCGCCACCACCACCACCACGGGCGGCACCUCUGCGACCAGCACCAGCACCACCACCUCCAGCUCCACCACGGCUGCCAGCAGUCACACGACGACACCUUCUACUGCCACUACUGCUUCUGUUAGCAGUACUAAUGCCAGCAGCAGCAGUAGUAGUAGUACUAGUAGCAGUAUUACUACUACUGCAGCAAGACAGCCAGUCCCUCAGAUUUCAGUUUACGGAGGGAUACCCGACAGGCAAACUGUGCAGGUGAUCCAACAAGCGCUCCACAGGCAGCCCAACACGGCGGCGCAGUACCUACAGCAGAUGUACGCGGCCCAACAGCAGCAUCUCAUGUUACAGACCGCGGCGCUCCAGCAGCAGCACAGCCUCAGCACUGCUCAGCUGCAGAGCCUUGCUGCCGUGCAGCAGGCCAGUAUUGCAGCAGGUCGCCAGAACGCCCAGAACAGCACAACUUCUCAGCAAACAGGAUCGACUCAGACCACGAUCAACCUGACCGCCUCACCGGCGGCUGCACAGCUGAUCAGCCGUGCCCAGAGCAUCACGUCGGCUCCCACCAGUAUUUCCCAGCAGGCUGUUCUGCUGGGCAGCCCAUCUAGCACCACCCUCACCGCCAGCCAGGCGCAGAUGUACCUGCGUGCGCAGAUGGCCCAGCAGAGCAAUGUUUUCCAGGCGCAGCAGAGCAACCUGGUGCAAGUGGCCAGGAGUUUGGGCCGAGCUGUGCCCCUGUCGCCGCAGCUGAUCUUCACGCCAACGGCCACCGUGACAGCGAUGCAAUCCGACAGCUCCGCUCAGAAUCAGGUCCAAAAUCUGGCCAUACGCGGCCAGCAGGGAUCGACCACGUCCUCCUCCCAGACUCAGACGCUGCAGGCUCUCAGUCUGAAGCAGAGCCCGGUGCCCAUCCAGCCCGCGUCGCUUGUAAAGAACCCCGGACAGGGGGGGCAACCGUCUGCGGCAGUCAAGUCCGCCUUGUCCGAGAGUCCCUCGGAGGUGGGAAAGAAGGGGGACGCCGCCGUGGUCACAGAGGCCCGGGCCAUUAACAUGAGCCGCAACGUCACAACAGUCAGCGCGCAGCCAUUAAUUGCUCCAGCCUACACGCAGAUUCAGCCCCACUCACUGGUUCAGCAACACAAGCAGCAGCAGCAGUUUGUGGUCCAUCACAGCCAAGGUUCCCAGAGGACCUCCGGUCAGCUGCUGCAGACGGCGUCCAUUCAGCCGUCGCCACACACCGUCCCCGUGCUGCCCAAGCCGGCGCCGCACCAGCCCACCGCUCCUGGCCAGCACGCCACCAUCUUCCACUCCACCAUCAGCUCACACACCCUCCCGCCCCCUGCCUCAUCCUCCUCUUCUUCCACGCUGACGAGUCAGGCCAAAGCUCAGCCCGUGCAGCUCACAGCCAUUAACCUACAAAUACAUCCCACGGCCUCUCGACCACUGGUUCAGGAGUGUAAAGAUAAGCCUACUUCACUCGUAGUGAGAGAGAUUUGUGCAGCCUCCAGCGUGCAGCAACAACACCAGCAACAAAAGCUGCCACCGCCAGCGCCAGCAACAACACCAGCACCAACACCACCACUACCACCGCAGCAGCAGCAAAAUAUGCCAUCGCAACCCAGGAAGCCCGGAGAGCAGCCCAAAGCUGACCCAGCACCACAAGGUCAGCCACAAGGUGGGGGUGUGACCAAGAGGCCGACGCCUGCACCUGGGACCCCACCGCCGGCCAUGACCUCGGGAAACGAUGGCGAGGCGCCCAACAUGACGGCGGUCGCGUCACACAACGGCGAGAGCAAGCCGCCACAGGCCAUCGUCAAGCCGCAGGUCCUCACGCACGUCAUCGAGGGCUUUGUCAUCCAGGAGGGCGCCGAGCCGUUCCCAGUGUGUGUGGAGCGUCUACCCAUCCUCAUCAACAGCCCCAAGAAACUGGACAGUCAGCUCUCCUCCGACCCGGACAAAACUCCAGUGAGCAAUGCCGCAAACUCUGACUCUGAGCCCGAAGACUUGAACCAGACAGAAAAGGAUCAAGAGCCCAAGCUUACGUGUGAGUACUGCGGCUGGGUGGACUUUGCCUACACGUUCAAGGGCUCGAAGCGCUUCUGCUCCAUGGUUUGUGCUAAGAGGUACAAUGUGGGAUGCACGAAGCGCAUCGGACUGUUCCGUCCAGAGAAAACCAAACCAGCAAAUCGCUGGCGCAGAAGAAAUCAGGGCCGCUCUAGUAUCGAAGCGAAGAAGCGGAAGAUGUCCCCGUCGCCGCAGCAGACUCAGGGGGGUUCCGUGUCCUCUCCUCAUCUCUCCCAGCCCAGCCAGGAGGAGUCCAGCCCGUGUUCGGAGAUGUCCAGCUACGAGGAGCCGCCUUCGCCGCUGUCUGCGGCCAGCUCAGGACCCCCGGCGACCCCCGCCCCUGCUCCGGUCCCCGUCCAGCGGCAGCCCAGCAGGGUGUCGUCGGAGCCGGAAGCCCUCGGCGGCAGAGACGCGACUGCCGCUUUGUGUCAGCCUUUUUUACCCAACGACCCCACCAAGUGGAAUGUGGAGGAAGUGUACGAAUUCAUUUGUUCAUUGCCAGGCUGUCAGGAGAUCGCCGACGAGUUCCGCUCCCAAGAGAUCGACGGACAAGCUUUGCUCCUGUUGAAGGAGGACCACCUGAUGAGCACCAUGAACAUCAAACUGGGACCAGCGCUCAAGAUCUUCGCACGCAUCAAUAUGCUCAAAGACUCGUAGCGAAGGGUGCGUCCGUGCGUUUGUGUCUCUGAUUGCACUGUGACCUCACCAUCUCAUCUUCACGGACUCCUGCACUUGAUGGCGGCGUCACCAGCUGACCGAGGAUUUUAGUUCCGGAGAACUGACUGAGAUUGAAGUGGGCAUUAAGUGUUAAUCAAGAGAGAGUUUCUUUCAUGAGGAUUCAGAGCAGGAGAAGCUCUGAUGUGAGUGAAAGUAGGUCUGAAUUGAUGGACAUUGUUGCAGGAAGAACCCUCUUACUCCCUAAGGGUUGCGCUGGUGUGUCUCAUUGAUUGGACUGCGGUCAGGAUGGAAGUUAAGCCAUACAAGAGCAGGUUGCCACGGUGACACACGAGACGGGAGAACAUGCGCGACCUCAUGUCAGCGAGAUGAAGAUGGACGGACGGUGGGAUGGAGGCGACUGAUUGGUGACGUUCAAACCGAGGCCGUGGGAGGACGGAACGGGAUGGGAGACGCCACACAUACACACACAGAAACAGACUUCUUUCCUGGCCCGGCUUGGCACAGGUACCAAAACACAUAACAAAACGCUACCAUCAUGCAUCACCAGUGGAAGGUAACAGUCAGAACACGGUGGCAAGAACGCUGCUGUUACUACGGUGCCACACAAACGCACGGGUCACAUCUUUAACAGUCUGUCAAUGCACAAACACACACACACACAAAAAGUGGCCAAGCGUGACGACAAGCGUGUUGACGCCACAACAACAUCCUUCAAACAAAAUGAAACACGGUGUGCGCGUGCACGUGCGUGUCGUGCUCUCAGCAUAGCAAAUCAAUUCGUUAUCACGACAACACAAAAAAAAAAAAAAAAACAUUUACAUUUGGUUUCUUUUUUAACACGACGUGACACACUAGGCGUGCGAGACGUUUAAGCGUGAUAAUGAGAUGCUAAUUUGGGGGAAAGCGCGUGCUCGGGCCCUCUUCUUUUUUGUUUUUAAUAUAGUCAAAUAUAAUCAGGGUGUGUUUGGGUUCCAUUUACAAAAAUUGUCUCAAAUGGUGCCUCAGCCUAUUAAAAAAAGUAUCACAAAAAUGGACGCCUCGGCUGACAUGUUCAAAGGGAUAGUGCCAUGUGUCAACAGUGUUUUUUUUUUUUUUUCUUCUUUUUUGUUUUUUUUGUCUCU
Molecule: RNA transcript, 4060 nt
Organism: Phycodurus eques (leafy seadragon)
Lineage: Eukaryota; Metazoa; Chordata; Actinopteri; Syngnathiformes; Syngnathidae
Gene: phc2b
Gene name: polyhomeotic homolog 2b (Drosophila)
Exons: 17
Source: RefSeq, a predicted model, not a curated record